AAUGAACGCUGGCGGCAGGCCUAAUACAUGCAAGUCGAGCGAACAGACGGGGAGCUUGCUCCUCUGACGUUAGCGGCGGACGGGUGAGUAACACGUGGGUAGCCUACCUAUAGGACUGGGAGAGCUUCGGGACACCGGAGCUAAUGGCGGAUAAUAUAUUGAACCGCAUGGUUCACUAGUGAAAGACGGUUUUUCUGUCGCUUAUAGAUGGAUCCGCGCCGCAUUAGCUAGUUGGUAAGGUAACGGCUUACCAAGGCUACGAUGCGUAGCCGCCCUGAACGGGUGAUUGGACACACUGGAAGUGAGGCACGGUCCAGACUCCGACGGGAGGCAGCAGUAGGGAAUCUUCCGGGAUGGAGGAAAGCGUGAUCGUGGAACGCCGCGUGAGUGAUGAUGGUGCCCGGAUGGGAGAGCUAUGUAAGUAGGGAAGUAGAAAUGCGUAAGCAGCUAGGAACGUAAUGACGGUACCUACAGAGAAAGCCACGGCUAACUACGUG
Molecule: ribosomal RNA, 497 nt
Filed under: uncultured bacterium
Lineage: Bacteria
Description: partial 16S ribosomal RNA
Rfam family: Bacterial small subunit ribosomal RNA
Source: RNAcentral